This 253-nucleotide ribosomal RNA is filed under the name uncultured bacterium. RNAcentral's name for it is "partial 16S ribosomal RNA". It matches the Rfam family "Bacterial small subunit ribosomal RNA", at positions 524 to 776 of the family's 1533-position model. The record is from RNAcentral.
UACGUAGGGUGCAAGCGUUAUCCGGAAUUAUUGGGCGUAAAGAGCUCGUAGGCGGUUUGUCGCGUCUGCUGUGAAAACUGGAGGCUCAACCUCCAGCCUGCAGUGGGUACGGGCAGACUAGAGUGCGGUAGGGGAGAUUGGAAUUCCUGGUGUAGCGGUGGAAUGCGCAGACAUCAGGAGGAACACCGAUGGCGAAGGCAGAUCUCUGGGCCGUAACUGACGCUGAGGAGCGAAAGCAUGGGGAGCGAACAGG